Molecule: transfer RNA, 77 nt
Filed under: Candidatus Omnitrophota bacterium
Lineage: Bacteria; Pseudomonadati; Candidatus Omnitrophota
Description: tRNA-Arg
Rfam family: tRNA
About the family: Transfer RNA (tRNA) molecules are approximately 80 nucleotides in length. Their secondary structure includes four short double-helical elements and three loops (D, anti-codon, and T loops). Further hydrogen bonds mediate the characteristic L-shaped molecular structure. tRNAs have two regions of fundamental functional importance: the anti-codon, which is responsible for specific mRNA codon recognition, and the 3' end, to which the tRNAs corresponding amino acid is attached (by aminoacyl-tRNA synthetases). tRNAs cope with the degeneracy of the genetic code in two manners: having more than one tRNA (with a specific anti-codon) for a particular amino acid; and 'wobble' base-pairing, i.e. permitting non-standard base-pairing at the 3rd anti-codon position.
Source: RNAcentral
GUCCCUGUAGCUCAGCUGGAUAGAGCAACUGCCUUCUAAGCAGUCGGUCGGCUGUUCGAAUCAGCCCAGGGACGCCA